This 482-nucleotide ribosomal RNA is filed under the name uncultured bacterium. Its description in RNAcentral is "partial 16S ribosomal RNA". It matches the Rfam family "Bacterial small subunit ribosomal RNA", at positions 30 to 507 of the family's 1533-position model. The record is from RNAcentral.
AUUGAACGCUGGCGGCAUGCCUUACACAUGCAAGUCGAACGGUAACAGGUCUUCGGAUGCUGACGAGUGGCGAACGGGUGAGUAAUACAUCGGAACGUGCCCAGACGUGGGGGAUAACGAGGCGAAAGCUUUGCUAAUACCGCAUACGAUCUAAGGAUGAAAGCAGGGGACCGCAAGGCCUUGCGCGUUUGGAGCGGCCGAUGGCAGUUUAGGUAGUUGGUGGGAUAAAAGCUUACCAAGCCGACGAUCUGUAGCUGGUCUGAGAGGACGACCAGCCACACUGGGACUGAGACACGGCCCAGACUCCUACGGGAGGCAGCAGUGGGGAAUUUUGGACAAUGGGCGAAAGCCUGAUCCAGCAAUGCCGCGUGCAGGAUGAAGGCCUUCGGGUUGUAAACUGCUUUUGUACGGAACGAAAAGGCUCUGGCUAAUACCUGGGGCACAUGACGGUACCGUAAGAAUAAGCACCGGCUAACUACGUG